RNAcentral lists this ribosomal RNA (1087 nucleotides) under uncultured bacterium. RNAcentral describes it as "bacterial SSU rRNA". It matches the Rfam family "Bacterial small subunit ribosomal RNA", at positions 102 to 1194 of the family's 1533-position model. The record is from RNAcentral.
ACGGGUGAGUAAUGCUUAUCUUACCUACCGUUUAGUGGGGUACCAUGGAAAGCCGUGGGGAAUGCCGCAUAUUCUGGCUUCGGUCAGGAAAGGAAGUCGUAAGGCUUCUGCUAAAUGACGGGGAUAAGUCGCAUCAGCGCGCUGGUGGGGUAAUGGCCCACCAAGGUAAUGGCAAUGACGCGUAGCCGGGCUGAGAGGCUGACCGGCCACAAGGGAACUGAAACACUGAUCCUACUCCUACGGGAGGCAGCAAUGGGGAAUCGUUGGCAAUGGGGGAAACCCUGACCACGCAAUGCUACGUGAAGGAUGAAGGUCUACGGAUUGUAAACUUCUUUACCAGAGGUUACACUUUGGCAAAAAGUCACGACUAACUACGUGCCAGCAGUCGCGGUAAGACGUAGGUGGCGAAUGUUAUCCGGAAUUAUUGGGCGUAAAGGGUGCGUAGAUGGCCUGAUAAGUUAGCAGUGGGAAAUCGAGGCUCAACCUCGUGGAAACUGGUAAUACUGUUAGGCUCGAGUGCAGGAGAGGUUAACGGAACUCCAUGUGGAGCGGUAAAAUGCGUAGAUAUAUGGAAGAACACCAAUAACGGCGAAGGCAGUUAACUAUUCUGUUGCUGACAUUGAGGCACGAAAGCGUGGGGAGCAAAACGGAUUAGAUACCCGUGUAGUCCACGCCCUAAACGAUGAGUGCUAGACAUUGGGAACUUGAUUCUCAGUAUCGCUAGGUAACCCGGUAAGCACUCCGCCUGAGUAGUACGCUCGCAAGAGUGAAACUCAAAGGAAUUGACGGGGACUCGCACAAGCAGUGGAGCAUGUGGUUUUAAUCCGAUACGACGCGUAGAACCUUACCAAGGCUUGACAUGUAAGGUAGCAAUACUAAACUAGGGCAACCUAGUUGAAUUACACAGGUGCUUGCAUGGCCAUCGUCAGUUCGUGCCGUGAGGUGUAUGGUUAAGUCCUAUAACGAACGCAACNCCUUAGGCUUAGUUACCAGCGGGUAAAGCCGGGCACUCUAGGUCGACUGCAGAUAUGUUUUACAUAUCCUUACUGAGUAAUCAGGAGGAAGGAAAGGAUGACGUCUGGUCGUC